RNAcentral lists this ribosomal RNA (590 nucleotides) under Ascomycota sp. UNEX FECRGA 2012E130. RNAcentral's name for it is "eukaryotic LSU rRNA". The stretch from base 243 to 396 matches the Rfam family "5.8S ribosomal RNA". The record is from RNAcentral. Lineage: Eukaryota; Fungi; Ascomycota.
UAGAGGAAGUAAAAGUCGUAACAUAGGUCUUCCGUAGGUGAACCUGCGGAAGGAUCAUUACAGAGUUCAUGCCCUCACGGGUAGACCUCCCACCCUUUGUGUAUCUAUACCAUGUUGCUUUGGCAGGCUGCUGGACCCCUCGGGGGACAGCCUCAGCGCCCUCGGGCCUGAGAGUCGCCUGCCGGAGGAAAAACAAACUCUGAACUGUUAGUGUCGUCUGAGUACUAUAUUUUAAUAGUUAAAACUUUCAACAACGGAUCUCUUGGUUCUGGCAUCGAUGAAGAACGCAGCGAAAUGCGAUAAGUAAUGUGAAUUGCAGAAUUCAGUGAAUCAUCGAAUCUUUGAACGCACAUUGCGCCCCUUGGUAUUCCGGGGGGCAUGCCUGUUCGAGCGUCAUUUCAACCCUCAAGCUCAGCUUGGUAUUGGGCCUCCGCCGGUCACACGGCGGGCCUUAAAGUCAGUGGCGGCGCCGUUGGGUCCUGAACGUAGUAACAUACAUCUCGUUACAGGGUCCCCGCGUGCUUCUGCCAUUAAACCCCCAAUUUUCUAUGGUUGACCUCGGAUCAGGUAGGGAUACCCGCUGAACUUAA